UACGAAGGGGGCUAGCGUUGCUCGGAAUUACUGGGCGUAAAGCGCACGUAGGCGGAUUGUUAAGUCGGGGGUGAAAUCCUGGAGCUCAACUCCAGAACUGCCUUCGAUACUGGCGAUCUCGAGUUCGGGAGAGGUGAGUGGAACUGCGAGUGUAGAGGUGAAAUUCGUAGAUAUUCGCAAGAACACCAGUGGCGAAGGCGGCUCACUGGCCCGAUACUGACGCUGAGGUGCGAAAGCGUGGGAGCAACAGGG
This 252-nucleotide ribosomal RNA is filed under the name uncultured bacterium. Its description in RNAcentral is "partial 16S ribosomal RNA". It matches the Rfam family "Bacterial small subunit ribosomal RNA", at positions 524 to 776 of the family's 1533-position model. The record is from RNAcentral.